GGGUGGGUCAUCAAACUGUCAAAGACCAAACUGUCAAAGUGCUGAGACGACUGACUAAGCCGUAUUUCUUUUGCUGUCGAGACGCUGUCCGAGAAGGUUGAAUAUUGUCCUUGCUGGGUACUUUCUUACGUGACAUUUUUCACCACAGACAUGGAUUUCUUGGUUAGUUUGAUGUUGGAGCUGCCAAUGGUGUUGAUGCAGCGUUCAUGGUGUGAGCAGUGGUUUUGCAGUCAUUUUCCAGUCGAGAUGCCUUGAAAUGGAACUUGUGCAGAAAUUCAGUUCAAUAUCAUACUUCAAUGUGUUAUUUGCCUAUGUUGAUGUUGCAUUGUUGAGCUGUUGUACAAAAUAGUCAAUGUUGCCUGGUGGCUGUCGGGUAUGUUUUAUCGGCUGCCUUUUGUCGAUGUGUCGUCUCGUCUCUAGCCACCUGUACACACGUUAAGUUCAAUCGUACGCCGCCGUUCCAGACUUGAUCCAUUGGCGAAGCCGAAAAGAGGUUGCUGAAAUUCAAGACUGAAAAAUUAAUUAGACUGGACAAUU
This is a long non-coding RNA of Daphnia pulicaria, 537 nucleotides long. RefSeq lists it as uncharacterized. NCBI's taxonomy places the organism in Eukaryota, Metazoa, Arthropoda, Branchiopoda, Diplostraca, Daphniidae. The transcript has 3 exons. The record is from RefSeq and is a predicted model, not a curated record.